CGCGAAACCCGCGUGAGUGUCACAUUCGUUUUAGCGCCGCCCAGAGGAUCCGCUCCGCCUCCGGGCAGCGCCAUGAAUUCGACUGUCCGACACUGGACCCGUUUCGGAUCCGCAGAAGUGUACGUGCCUUUACUUUAACGGUUGAAGUUGCUACACCAAGAGCCGAGACAGUCGUCAGUGGAGAUUUUCUUUCCUGGAACACGGUUGCGCUGAACUAUUUGAGAUGCCUUUUCUUCUGAUUGAGUUUCAAGAAAGCAAGGACAUUGCUGUUGUGCCAGGUGACUGGUAUGAUGACGGGAUGGUGUACUGGCCCAACUUUGAACGUGUCAAACGGGCAGCUGCUAACGAGGAAAAGCAUGAGCCAAACUGGCCAAGAUUUGACGUAAAGGUCGUCAGAACUUGUGACAACUACAAAGACACCAUCAGGCUAAUGGACCAAUAUGAGACCGGCUGCAACACCUCUGAGCUACAGUCUGAGGCAGAGCAGGAGUGGGAGCUGCCAGAGAAACGAGUCAGGAAGCCAGUCCAUCGUUUUGGGGACUGAUGAGAGUGACGAAGAGCCCGAAAAUGGUGACUUAGCUUCUCUGAGGUCGCCACGACCUUCCAACUUGGCUGGUGUAUCAGUUGGAGCCUCAAGCCCAACUGGCAGACUCCACUAUCUCGCCGAGUGCCAGGCAGCAGAGUCACUACUCCUCAACCUGGAGGAAACUGUCUAGGAACAGGCUAAAAUCUCACCUCUUCACCAUGGCUUUCCCCUCAUAGCUUGGUCCACAAUCAGCUACACCCGUUUACUCCUGCUAUUUGUUUAUUUUGUUUUGAUUUUCUCGUUAUCUGUUCUUA
Esox lucius (northern pike) is the source of this 840-nucleotide long non-coding RNA. The record is from Ensembl. NCBI's taxonomy places the organism in Eukaryota, Metazoa, Chordata, Actinopteri, Esociformes, Esocidae.